This 484-nucleotide ribosomal RNA is filed under the name uncultured bacterium. RNAcentral's name for it is "partial 16S ribosomal RNA". It matches the Rfam family "Bacterial small subunit ribosomal RNA", at positions 30 to 507 of the family's 1533-position model. The record is from RNAcentral.
AUUGAACGCUGGCGGCAGGCCUAACACAUGCAAGUCGAGCGGAUGAAGGGAGCUUGCUCCUGGAUUCAGCGGCGGACGGGUGAGUAAUGCCUAGGAAUCUGCCUGGGAGUGGGGGAUAACGUCCGGAAACGGGCGCUAAUACCGCAUACGUCCUGAGGGAGAAAGUGGGGGAUCUUCGGACCUCACGCUAUCAGAUGAGCCUAGGUCGGAUUAGCUAGUUGGUGGGGUAAAGGCCUACCAAGGCGACGAUCCGUAACUGGUCUGAGAGGAUGAUCAGUCACACUGGAACUGAGACACGGUCCAGACUCCUACGGGAGGCAGCAGUGGGGAAUAUUGGACAAUGGGCGAAAGCCUGAUCCAGCCAUGCCGCGUGUGUGAAGAAGGUCUUCGGAUUGUAAAGCACUUUAAGUUGGGAGGAAGGGCAGUAAGUUAAUACCUUGCUGUUUUGACGUUACCAACAGAAUAAGCACCGGCUAACUUCGUG